CAUGGGAACUGGAGCCCCAUGGCAGGACAAUUGCCGACAUAUGCUGACGAAGAGAUGCGGGCAAACGAUUUGAGACUGGGGAGAGUUCAUCAUUCAUCGUUUUGGAAUGGCAGGUCCUGGAAGAUGUAGCAAUUGAGUGCACAAAUUUGUCAAUCAAUUCCCUAGUUAAUUAGCAGCAUUGAAGCACGAUUAAAAGAAAUACUGUUUGUAUUCAAAAUAAUUGUACUAGACUGGUGUACAUUUUGUGUAUAUGGCUACCGUUAUUUUGAUUGCUCAAAAGAAUAGCUUGCAACCCUCUUGGAAAUGGUAGCUGAGAAGAAACCAGUUCCAAUCCUUUGAAGCAUUCUAAUUCCAGUGGGUUUCCUAGCUAAAGCUCUUGAUAAAGGGACAGAUGCGAUCAAAGACAGGGACUAGCAUAACUAUUGUCAGGUUUGUGAAGGAUAGAAGCGUAGCAGUUAGUAUUAUGAAGCCUGAUGCAAUUGUUCUAUCCUUACUAGCUCCUUGCAUGGUGAAAAAUGUUUAGUGUGCAUCUACAAUGGCAUAUAAUAGAUUUGUAGCCUUAUAGGAAUAAGCCUUGGCACUGCCUUCGCUUCUUGAUCUUCAUCAAUACUGCAUACCCCGUCUUCUCCAAAGCAAAUAUCCAGCGCAAGCAAGGCUUUGUUGAUGAACCUGUAACAUUGGAGGAUCCAAAUUUCCAGGUCAAGGAACUUCUUUAUCUAGACAACAUUAAAGUUCCA
This is a long non-coding RNA of Populus euphratica (Euphrates poplar), 737 nucleotides long. RefSeq lists it as uncharacterized. Lineage: Eukaryota; Viridiplantae; Streptophyta; Magnoliopsida; Malpighiales; Salicaceae. The record is from RefSeq and is a predicted model, not a curated record. The transcript has 2 exons.